UACGAAGGGAGCUAGCGUUGUUCGGAAUUACUGGGCGUAAAGGGCGCGUAGGCGGUCAGGCAAGUCAGGUGUGAAAGCCCUGGGCUCAACCCGGGAAUUGCGCUUGAUACUACUUGGCUUGAAUUCGGGAGAGGUUGGUGGAAUUCCCAGUGUAGAGGUGAAAUUCGUAGAGAUUGGGAAGAACACCCGUGGCGAAGGCGGCCAACUGGACCGACAUUGACGCUGAGGCGCGAAAGCGUGGGGAGCAAACAGG
Molecule: ribosomal RNA, 253 nt
Filed under: uncultured prokaryote
Description: partial 16S ribosomal RNA
Rfam family: Bacterial small subunit ribosomal RNA
Source: RNAcentral